GGUCACACAGAAGGCUUGGGGCGGAGUUGGGAUUCGGACCCAGGUCUUCUGACUCCCAGCUCUUGGCUCUCCGGACGAGGCCACGCUUCUCCCCGAUCCCCCACGGAGGCCUCGUCCGAACCUCGAGAUUGGGUCACGUAGGAAGGCGAAGGGGACCUGUCCGCCCCCGGACUCCAGACUGACCCGGAACGAUGCCGACGGGAGCCCCGUCCCUCUCUCGUGAAUCGACCCCUCUCUCCGGCGGGAGAAUCUGCACACGCUGACGGAGCCUAGAGCUGAGCCGUGGAGAGACCGCCCUCUCGUCGGGGUCACCCGUGUCGGAAAGGUGGGACCGAGUUGAUUCGCCCCUGCCGGGCGGGAGCGGCACGGGGAAGAGACGGAGGCGGAUCAUCGGGGGAUCAAAAUGUCCGUCGGAGACAACGGCAGAGCCUUGAGUUUUUACCGCGCAGAAGAAGGCGACGGUAAACCACUUCUGUACUUUUGACCAAAGGAAACCUCUACGGAAAAACAACCACAGAGUCGCUAUGGAUCGGAAAGGACUCGACAGCAUCGGAGAAGGAGACGAGCACCCCCUAGACCGGCAAUUCCUUGUGGGCAGGGAACAUGAGCCUUCCGGGGGGUCGGGGACCAGGACUCAUUUCCGACUGUGAAUCCCACCGGUUGCUCUGUACCGUGCUCGGCCCCGAAUAAGCGCCUAAUAAAUACCACCACCAUUA
Long non-coding RNA from Ornithorhynchus anatinus (platypus), 716 nucleotides. RefSeq lists it as uncharacterized. The record is from RefSeq and is a predicted model, not a curated record. Lineage: Eukaryota; Metazoa; Chordata; Mammalia; Monotremata; Ornithorhynchidae. The transcript is spliced from 2 exons.